Panicum virgatum (switchgrass) is the source of this 2530-nucleotide long non-coding RNA. RefSeq lists it as uncharacterized. Lineage: Eukaryota; Viridiplantae; Streptophyta; Magnoliopsida; Poales; Poaceae. The transcript is spliced from 2 exons. The record is from RefSeq and is a predicted model, not a curated record.
UCUUCUUGGCACCCACGAGCAGCACUCACCUCCACCACCGGCGCCGCCGCGAUGUCAUGGCCGGAGGUGCUCGUGCCUCUCCAGCCUUCGCGCCAUGCUCUCCUCCCACUCACACCCCCCCGUUGUCUGGCCCUCCCCCUCGCGCUCCCACUCUCUCCGGCCAGGUCCCUACUCCUCCUCGAUUGGUACGCGUCCUCCUGCCUAGCUCUCUUGUUGUCCUCCCUCCCGCUUCGCCCCACCCUCGCCACCGCCGAUACGGACCGCGUGCUCGGCCUCCUCAACUCCCUCCCGCCCUUGCUCCAUGAGUCCUUCCUGGUGCCGUUCCUCCGCUCCCUGUCCCACCGGGGCCCCCUCCACUUGCUCGACUAAAAGGUCUUCACACCUCGCAGGAUACAGAGCUCACCGUGGACAUCUAGCGCGGGUGGACGGGCGGCUUAACCGGUGACAUGACGGAGCUCAGUGCUAGCUCUAAAAAAUUGUCCUUGACGUUUCCUCUUCCGCUUCACUCCCAAUUCCCAUCCAGUAAAAAUCACCAUAGCCCCUUGCACUCAUCCUUUCAAUCUGGAUUGGAUUGAGGGAUCCAUGGCAGCCGGCAAUCAUCGGAGAGACGCGGCCACACGACAGCAACGGUGGCCCUAUUGCCCUUCUGCUCUCUGACCGUGGGCAAGCACCUGGUGCUCACGCGUGCACCUGUGCCUGCAAGCUCGGAGAUGCUUGAGUGCGGGUGCACAGGUUGAAUCGAUGGCAAUACAGGAGAUGCACAAAUGUGCUCGAUGAAUUGAUUAUGAGAGAUGACGCUACUGGUUCUCCUCCCCAUGAUCCUUGCAUUGUCGAGUGCCACCAGGUUCAAGCAAAGCUACUGGGUGUUCAGCUCUCUUCUUCCUCAAGAUAAUGGCAAAGAAGUUAUAAUGAUCCCCUGCCAAUUCAUUUGUUCAAGGUUGAUUUCUGCUUCUGCAUCUCGUCCAUUUCACUUGUCUCUGCUAACAAGUUCAACUCGUGUGCCCAAAUAGGAGACCUAGAGAGAAGCGAUUGGUUUGGCUCUCACCUCCUUUGGUGCUCUCUCCUUGAAAUGUGUUUGCUUUUAAGUUGGUGGAAGCAAAAGAAAAUUAGAUAGCAAAGAAAAACUCUGUAUGGCAUAUGAAAUCGAUUUGAGUAAUUAUCUGUCCUGCUUAGCGUCGUGAACUCGUGAUAGUAAGAAAUGCACUGAUUAUAAUGGAUUCUGUUUCCAAGAUGAAUCAGGGGGUAGCUAAAACUAUAAGAAUACUGAAGUUAGUCCAAGGAUGAAAGUACAUAGUUGUUCCAUGGAUAAAUAUGAUCUAUGUUUGGUAUUUUCCAUACAUAAAUAGAUUGUUCUUUACGUCAUCACUAACUUAGAUCACUAGAGCUGCAGCACAAUGUAUUAAAAGCUUUUACUAAUAGUUUAAUACUCAGUUUGCUUCAAAAACAGCAAUCCAAGACGCAAAGAAGAACAUAACAAAAGGUGCUAGGAAUCACCACCAAGUUUACUGACGUCUGCAUUGUGUGACAAUAUCUGUUGCAACUUAAUUGGCAAAACAAUUCAAGUCUGCUCCGUGUGCACAAAGCCAUAUACGUAGAUGUAUUUUCAGUCUAAAAUGGAAGUAAUUAUAGAUUCAAAUCCAAAGAGAUUGUUCAGUUAAAAUUUCUUGGUCAUCAGAUUUGAAGUUGCGCGCGAACACCGGUCUUCCCGCAGCAGUGGUGGCCGAGUUCCGUGCUGAGCUCCAGCGCGCCCUCCCCACGGCGAUGACCGGUUGCGCGUCGUCCGCGGCAGCAUCCAAGCUCCACGCGCCCUUUCUGUCACGACCACGGUGGCGGCGCCAAGGCUAGCGGUUUCGGCAGCUACCACCGCCGAUACAGGGGCGACAAUUUUGAGACAACUAUAGAUGUAGAGUAGUAAAAGGUUUAAUUUGAUUGGGUUCAGUUUUUGGCUAUAAAUCCUAAUUUAUUGCUGCAUUUUCCUUUAGUUGAUUCAGUAUUAUGAUUCAUGCCAUUCUUUUUAUUUUCAUUCCAGCGUUUAUCCAUGUGCAGACAUGGAUUAGGCUUCCAACUGGUGCACAGAUGCAGUAUACAUCACGUUGCUUCUUCUAUCAACAACAAAGACUGACUAUUUUGUAAUUGCAGCUCUGCAUCCGACGGUGCUUGCUGAUGCUGAGGUCCUCUGCAAACAUAUAAUGGAAAGAUCAUCACCAGAUACGGUCAAUGCAAUAUGCACAGGUGGUUAUCAACGGUUCCUCCUCCUCCUGGUAAUUUGUUGAAGCUAACCGGUAGAAUGAUUUUUUGGUUAUUGAGACAAAUGUGACUAGAUUAAGUUUGUAGCUAUAAAUGUAGAGCGCAUCUGGCUACUUGCAUGGGCCAAGAUCACACUCCAAGAUAUGGUCGCAUGAAAGUACUGGCAACAUAUCUGUUUGGUAGAAUGGCACUAUAUGAGCAUUUCCUACCAUAUCUGUAUGGUCCUAAAAUCUCAUAACAAUACGCAUCAUUACGCAUUUAUGCUCUUGAUUGCUUUGCUAAA